This 724-nucleotide ribosomal RNA is filed under the name uncultured bacterium. RNAcentral describes it as "bacterial SSU rRNA". It matches the Rfam family "Bacterial small subunit ribosomal RNA", at positions 777 to 1501 of the family's 1533-position model. The record is from RNAcentral.
UUAAGAUACCUUGGUAGUCCACCCGUAACGAUGAGUGUUAGUGUGGGGGUCAAACCUUCGGUGCGCCAGUUAACGCCAUAAAGCANUCCGCCUGGGGGAGUACGUUACGCAAGUAUGAAACUCAAAGGAAUUGACGGGACCCGCACAAGCAGCGGAGCAUGUGGUUUAAUUCGAAGCAACGCGAAGAACCUUACCAGGGCUUGACAUGCCACUGACCGGUCUAGAGAUAGAUUUUUAUCCUUCGGGUACAGUGGACACAGGUGGUGCAUGGUUGUCGUCAGCUCGUGUCGUGAGAUGUUGGGUUAAGUCCCGCAACGAGCGCAACCCUUGUCUUUAGUUGCCAUCAUUAAGUUGGGCACUCUAAAGAGACUGCCGAUGACAAAUCGGAGGAAGGUGGGGAUGACGUCAAAUCAUCAUGCCCUUUAUGUCCUGGGCUACACACGUGCUACAAUGGUCGGUACAACGAGAAGCAAGCCAGCGAUGGCAAGCAAAUCUCUAAAAGCCGAUCCCAGUUCGGAUUGCAGGCUGCAACUCGCCUGCAUGAAGUCGGAGUUGCUAGUAAUCGCGGAUCAGAAUGCCGCGGUGAAUGCGUUCCCGGGUCUUGUACACACCGCCCGUCACACCAUGGGAGUUGUCAAUACCCGAAGCCAGUGAGCUAACCAGUAAUGGAGGCAGCUGUCGAAGGUAGGGGCAAUGACUGGGGUGAAGUCGUAACAAGGUAACC